RNAcentral lists this long non-coding RNA (1674 nucleotides) under Malus domestica (apple). RNAcentral describes it as "long non-coding RNA (MDOM_LNC018541)". Lineage: Eukaryota; Viridiplantae; Streptophyta; Magnoliopsida; Rosales; Rosaceae. The record is from RNAcentral.
UUUGUUCUUGAGUUGAGUCUUGGUUCACCUUUCUACUAGGCUUUGAAUUUCAUGGGUAAUGUUUUGUUUUUAGUGCAUACAAGCAUGAUUCCGCCUUUAAAUGUUAAUUGCAUGUCAUAGAUGUUGUUCAAAUGAACAUGUUUUUCACAAAAUUUCCUUCAAGUGGUAUCAAGAGCCUAGGUCUAGUAGUUGGUGAAUCCUUUUGGGUUUUGUAGUUCAUAGUCUUUGAUUUGAAUGUUGUAAUUGUUACAAGCUUUAUUCUUGCUUCUUUGAAUGUAAAUUUUGUUAGAAAAUUUUCCAUCUCAAAUGUUAUAGAUGUAGUUCAUAUGAGCAUGAAUUUUGGAGCUAAAAUUUGGUGCCAUGUUUUUGGGGAAAUUCGGCCAAAUCCAAAGGGUGGUUUUUUGGGUUCUUGUUUGUCUUGUUAAAAGUGUUUUAAGGUGACUUUUGGAACCCCUAAGUACCCUAGGAUGUUAACCCCCUUUUGAGUAGUGAAAUUUUGAAUUUUAUUGAGUGAAAAUAUUCAUGGAGCUCUUAUGAGUUUUCAUAUGUGUUCUUCAAUGUUCUUGAUGUUCUUACCAAGAACAAAAAGUUUGGUGUUUUUUAUUCAAAGUUUUUUGUUGAUUACAUAAAGUCUUUGUUUUGUGUUGGUUGGUGUGACUUUUCUAUCAACAAGACAUUUAUUUGAAAAGGUGAUUGAAAUGUUGAUAGAGUGUUUGAAUUUUUUGUACAUAAUUGGUACUUUUUUCUUACACACCUAUACCUACUUUUUCACACCAACCCAUCACCCAUCAUUUUCAACUUGCAUGACUUUAUGACUUUAUUUUUUAUCAAAAAACCACUCCCUCACACUACCAUGACCGGCCACCCUACAUGUAGGGUACUUUUGGGGCUUUUAUGCAAUUACAUAAAGUUUUGAUACUUUUGUGUAUCUGUACUUCGACCCGAAAGUUUACGUUUUUAUGUAAAGGCCCAAAAUCACUAAAGGACAAAUUGUUUUGCUCCUUUGAUGAAGUUUUUGUAUUUGAUGAAUUUUUUGGGUUCUAAUUGUAAUUACAUGAAGUAGUGGACUUUCGUGUUCUUACAAAGUAACCUCAAAAGUUUGUGUUUUGCAACAUAGCCUAAAAAGUUGAGGUUAUUGCAUUUGGCCCAAAUUAGUUGAGAACAAAAUAGUUUUGUAUCUUUUAAUGAGAAUUGGAUUUUCAUUUCAUUUAGCUCCAUUUAAAUCAAUUCUAUGGAAACAAAAACCAAAUGAAAAUGUUGCAUCAAGUUUAAUUAGUUAAAGCGUUAAUUAAUUAAAGAAAUGGUGAUUAUGAACCUAAGCCUACGAUAAUUGAGCUAUGUGAAAAGCCGUCUCAAAUUUGUUUGAACCAUGGGAAUGUGUAGAUUAGAUUUUGGUUGUAAUUUGAUAUGAUCAAAUGUUGUAAAAGAGCAUAAGCUCUUCUUUACUUUAAAGUAAUUUGUUUUGAUCAAAAGUUGUAAAAAAGCAUAAGCUCUUCUUUACUUUGAAGUACUCCUUUCUUGUUUUAUUUAAUAUGCAUGAAAUUGGAGUAGUUGGGUCCAACGCCCAAUAGGAAAAACACGCCUUAAUAUGAUUAAACGCAUAACUAAAAUCAAUCACCAUCCCUAGACCGAGAUUCAACACUAGGCUCGUGUUGGAUCUAAUCAAAGGUUCAU